Long non-coding RNA from Sarcophilus harrisii (Tasmanian devil), 1765 nucleotides. The record is from Ensembl. Lineage: Eukaryota; Metazoa; Chordata; Mammalia; Dasyuromorphia; Dasyuridae.
CUGACCAAAACGUUAUUUUGCUGUAGAAAAAGAAUCAGACUCUGAAAUAUUGUACAAUUAGCUUGUGAAGGAAAUCAAAAAUGCAGGUGGGCAUAAAUAUAGGGAUUGGGAAUUCAAUGUAAUGGUUUUUAGUCAUCUCCCAGAGUUCUUUUUCUGGGUAUAGCUGGUUCAGUUCAUUACUGCUCCAUUAGAAAUGAUUUGGUUGAUCUCGUUGCUGAGGAUGGCCUGGUCCAUCAGAACUGGUCAUCAUAUAGUAUUGUUGUUGAAGUAUAUAAUGAUCUCCUGGUCUCAAAAGGUAUAUUUCUAAAAUUUAUUUUUUAAAAAAUAUUUCUUCAGUAACUUUCUAAAAGCUACUUAAGAUUGGAUGAUAAAAGUGAUUAUCGCUUCCUAGCUGUGUGAUCCUGGGCAAUGCCUCAAGAAAAAAAAGUGAUUAUCAGCUGAUAAUCUUGGGACACAUCAUUGAUAGGAGCUUGAACCAAUGACAUUAAAGAAUGACCCCUACUUCCUUGGGGGUAUCUUUAGAACCUUGAGGAUGAGAUAUAACCUCACUCCAGGACCUAAGAUUCAUCUCUGAGUAGUGGUUAGGAUAAGGAACUUAUAAGGAGCUUAUGAGCUGUACUCAUAAAUCUAGGCAAAUAGUAGCAAAAAAUAAAUGAAGACAUGUAAAUCUUUAAAAAUGGAAACUGAAAUUUCCUGUUUCUGUUCCUUAAGUGAGUACCCUCACAUUUCCUUCUUCCUUGACAGUCUGGGAAUAAAUCUUUCUUUUUCCAGCUUUUCUGCACUGAGAAAGUCAAGGCAAAGAAGAGUCAAAUUCAAGCAAUUGCUUUCCUAAUCCUGGGUCAUCACUCCGUCCCCAGAUAUACCUCUUUUUGGCACUUUCAGACCCCGGAAAUUUGCAUAUCCCUGCUGACUCAUAUCCUCAUAGCUUAGCCAAUAGUCUUCUCAUCAAGUUCCGGGUUGGCACUGUCACUUGCCAUCUCCAUCACAUGGCUCAGUCUCUACUUCCUCCUAGACUUCACUCUUCCCCCUCAGGCAAUCACUUUGUGCCUUAGAUUCAUAGUCUCAUAAAAGCUGAAGUCUCAGAAAUAUCCAUUAGGAUUAUCUCCAGGAUCUACAGUCCCAUCACAAGCUCUCUCCCUUGGAUGAACUCCUAUUAUAGAACUACAGAUAGCAAAAAACAAAUGUGUGUCAUAGAAUGUAAGACCCUUAAGGGCAGAAAAUAUUUUAUUUGUGUUUGUAUCCCUGAAGCACAUAGUUAAGUGCUUAAUAACAGCUUGAGAAUUGAUUGUUUUGGUUUAUUUCUCAGUGAAAUGAAAGUAGAUUAAAUGAUCUCUAAAGGUGUUAUUUUUAUUCAUACAUACUGAGAUUUGGGGUCAUUUUAUAUGAAUUGCAUGUAUCAGAACUACUAACUAUAAUGUUUGGAGUACUAGGUGAUUACUCUUGGCUUACCCUUAUUCUUUCUUCAAGAUUCUCUUUGCAAUUCAUUUUAAGCUUUACCUUUUAUGCAAAUUUUGAGAGUCAAGGGGGUGAUUUGUGCUUAGCAUUUCAGUGCCCUAGACAGUUUUAUAAUAUAAAUUGCAGUUGCAAAAAUGUAAUAUUAUAAACUGCAUUGGUAGAGAGAGCUUCCUCAUUCAGUAGUCCCCAGUGGGUCUUAGGAUGGCCCUAUAAUAAAAGACUUCUGAUAACUAAUGAGUGAUUUAAUGCUUAAUUGACUUCUCUAUUAGAAAGACCAAUAGAGUAAGGGACUAACUGAUUGGAUUCUAAG